Molecule: ribosomal RNA, 1453 nt
Filed under: uncultured bacterium
Lineage: Bacteria
Description: 16S ribosomal RNA
Rfam family: Bacterial small subunit ribosomal RNA
Source: RNAcentral
AGAGUUUGAUCCUGGCUCAGGAUGAACGCUGGCGGCGUGCCUAACACAUGCAAGUCGAACGGUGCUUCGGCACAGUGGCGCACGGGUGAGUAACACGUAGCUGAUUUGCCUCGGAGUGGGGGAUAACGUUUCGAAAGAGACGCUAAUACCGCAUAAGCUCACGCUUUUUAGAGGGGUGUGAGAAAAGCUUGAUGUGCUUCGAGAGAAGGCUGCGGCCCAUCAGGUAGUUGGUGUGGUAACGGCGCACCAAGCCGACGACGGGUAGGGGGCCUGAGAGGGUGAACCCCCACACUGGGACUGAGACACGGCCCAGACUCCUACGGGAGGCAGCAGUGAGGAAUAUUGGUCAAUGGGGGCAACCCUGAACCAGCAACGCCGCGUGGGCGAUGAAGGUCUUCGGAUCGUAAAGCCCUUUUCUGUGUGACGAGGAAGGACGGUAGCACAGGAAGAAGUGUCGGCUAACUACGUGCCAGCAGCCGCGGUAAAACGUAGGACACAAGCGUUAUCCGGAAUUACUGGGCGUAAAGCGCCUGCAGGCGGUUGUUCAAGUCACGUGUGAAAGCGCCCGGCUAAACUGGGCGAGGACAGGUGAGACUGGACGGCUAGAGGGUGGUAGAGGCGUGUGGAAUUCCGCGUGUAGUGGUGAAAUGCGUAGAGAUGCGGAGGAACACCAGUGGCGAAGGCGGCACGCUGGGCCACACCUGACGCUGAGGGGCGACAGCAUGGGGAGCGAACGGGAUUAGAAACCCCGGUAGUCCAUGCCGUAAACGAUGUGCGCUAGAUGUUGACCUCUCGAAAGGGGGGGCAGUGUCGAAGCCAACGCGGUAAGCGCACCGCCUGGGGAGUACGGUCGCAAGGCUAAAACUCAAAGGAAUUGACGGGGGCCCGCACAAGCAGCGGAGCGUGUGGUUUAAUUCGAGGCUACGCGAAGAACCUUACCUGGGUUUGACAUGGCGGUGGUACUGAGGUGAAAGCUGAGGGACCCUUCGGGGAGCCGUUACAGGUGCUGCAUGGCUGUCGUCAGCUCGUGUCGUGAGAUGUUCGGUUAAGUCCGAAAACGAGCGCAACCCCCGGCGUGUGUUACACGUGUCACGCGCGACUGCCGUCGGCAAGACGGAGGAAGGUGGGGAUGACGUCAAGUCAGCAUGGCCUUUAUAUCCAGGGCUACACACACGCUACAAUGGGCGGUACAGUGGGAAGCGAAGCCGGGAGGCGGAGCGGAUCCUCCAAAGCCGUUCGUAGUUCGGAUUGCAGGCUGCAACUCGCCUGCAUGAAGUUGGAGUUGCUAGUAACCGCGCAUCAGCACGGUGCGGUGAAUACGUUCCCGGGCCUUGUACACACCGCCCGUCACGUCAUGGGAGCUGGUCACGCCUGAAGUCGAGGGGGUAACCGCGAGGGGCCUAUCGCCGAAGGCAGGGCUGGUGACUGGGACGAAGUCGUAACAAGGUAGCCG